GGCCGGCGCUGACCCAGCUGGCUCUGGUCUGCCUGCUUCCCACCGCCCUCCUAUAGUGGACUUGCCUGCCGCUGACCAGGGCCGAUCUUUCCAGGGACACUGCACCCAGCAAAGGGCCAAGGUGCCAGGAGCACUAAGAACUUUAAUGAGGGAUCCAUCAAGCCCAGCACUGCGGAAGGUACUGAUGAAGCCGAUGGAGCUGCCGAGGACAACCUUGCAGAAGCUCUUGCUGAGUGAGUCACACGAGGAAGAGGAGAGGUAACUACCAGUCAUAAAACAGCGCCCUCCUGACAGCCUACUGAUGGACAGGAAGAAGCCCACAGUGACAAAGCCAGUGGCAAGGUCAUCCCCAGCCAACCACUCUGGUGACCUGGGGGAACCUCAAGGUCUUGUAAACCAGACACAGAGAAUGUCUCCAGAAGGACGUGAAAUAGAGCCCUAUACCUGUUCCUGCUGGUACCGACAAAAUUGCAAUGUGUACUUGUUAAGAACGCCCCAGUGCCCUGCAUUCUAAGACAUCGGCUUCCUUCCACACCAAGAGUCUGCUCACUCUAGCCCUACUUGCUCCAGCAUAUUUACUUCAUAUAUGUGGGUUCACUGUCACUGUCUUCAGACAC
Mus musculus (house mouse) is the source of this 617-nucleotide long non-coding RNA. RefSeq annotates it as predicted gene, 33407. The transcript is spliced from 4 exons. Lineage: Eukaryota; Metazoa; Chordata; Mammalia; Rodentia; Muridae. The record is from RefSeq and is a predicted model, not a curated record.